GCAACACCACAUUGAAAUUCCGGUUCCUGUACGAUCACCGAAGUUAAGUAACGUCGAACCUGGUCAGUACCUAGUUGGGUGACUGCUUGUGAAUAGAAGGUGCUGUCA
Molecule: non-coding RNA, 108 nt
Organism: Acanthosepion pharaonis
Lineage: Eukaryota; Metazoa; Mollusca; Cephalopoda; Sepiida; Sepiidae
Source: the annotation of a GenBank genome assembly